UUGGUUAAAGAUAAGAUUAAUGAUAGAUCAAGUUACAAGCUCCCACACUAAUGUAGAGAAACAACCCCAGGUGGAAUUUGGGUCAGUUAUGAUUUAUAUAUGCAGGCAAACAUGAGGUUAGAAGCAAAGAAAUAGUUCCUGCCUUUUCUCUUCAUUAAUUGAAAAAAGAAGUGUGUAUAAAAAGGAUGUUUUUACAAUAGCUUUUCAACAAGUAUUUGACACCUUCUUUAGCUGACCAAAAAAGUGUAUGUGUGGAAUCAAUUUAUCUAUGUAGUAGUACCAAAAUUUGAAAUCUGGCAUUCGAUGAGUCAGUCAGGGAGAAAAUGGAAACACAUUGUGAAAGGAACCUUCUCUGAAAAAAGUGCAACUUUGUGACAUGAUCUGCCUGCCUGACUGUAUAUACCUGAGCAGCAUACAGCUUAUUACUGCAUAAAAAGAAACAUAUCAAGAUAAUUCUGAAUCAGAUUGUGUGCUGGAAAAAUGGCCUUACAUCCAAAGGAGUGAAAUUUGGAGAGUCAUUUGCCAUCUACUUAAGCCAUCCUGGAAUAUGAAAAAAUAAGACAUAUAAAGACAAUAAGACAAUAAAACAUCCUGAUCCUCGUGUUCAGAUCUUUUGUGAUUUCUUGUAAAGGGUCUUUGAUUUUUGCAUAAAAAUAAAAAAUAUAUUAAUAAAAUUUGAUUUUUGCUUACUACUGAUUUUUUUCAGAUUCAGCAGGUGAAGCCGAUUUCCACUAGUUGCCACGUAUUUUCCACCUAUUGCCAGC
Long non-coding RNA from Mercenaria mercenaria, 764 nucleotides. RefSeq lists it as uncharacterized. The record is from RefSeq and is a predicted model, not a curated record. The transcript has 3 exons. NCBI's taxonomy places the organism in Eukaryota, Metazoa, Mollusca, Bivalvia, Venerida, Veneridae.